RNAcentral lists this ribosomal RNA (1011 nucleotides) under Triticum aestivum (bread wheat). RNAcentral describes it as "partial small subunit ribosomal RNA". Lineage: Eukaryota; Viridiplantae; Streptophyta; Magnoliopsida; Poales; Poaceae. The record is from RNAcentral.
AUGGAAGGUCUUCUGCAUUGGGAUUUUUCCCCCGGCCUUGUCGUGGCAGCUCAGGUGCGUCGUCGUUUUGGUUCUACCGUCCAUUUCUCUCCUUCUGGUUCGAACAAAGAGUUCUUCUUGGUGGUGCACUUUUCAUCGGCAAGCUUCCCUCUCAAUGAUGAUUCGGUUGCUAUUGCCCUCCAAUGCUGUAUUGGGGGCCUCCCUUCUGGUCUUAACGUGGCACAUAUUGAUGGUAGAAGAUUUCGCUUCUCAGUGGCGUCCAAUAAGGUUGGGCAUUUCAUCUAUGGUCUUAAGGACAGAGUCUGGCCGGAUUUUGUAUGCCACUUCAGUCUUUUCCGUCAGAACAAUACUGGUAUUUUGGCAAAGGAUUCAUCAUGGCAUCUUGAUUCUCACAUACCUGAGGUGGCUGCUCGUUCUCCUAUUGCUAUCAAGUCUAAAUACAAGUUCUCUUCGCAGCAAGAUAAGGUGUUGAAAGCUUCAAGUCUGAUUUUAUCUAAAUUUGGCUUUCCUCCUACGGAGGGUCUGGUUUCCAGCCUUGCCGCGUCACCGGACGGCUCAACGCCGGUAGCUCUGUUGCCGGAGCAGAUUAUUUCGGGGCAGACAGAUAGCCAGACAUUUACUGCGGGCAUUAACACACAUUCCUUGUCUUCGGGCGUCAUCUUUGGGACUUUCAAAUCACCCUUUACUGCGGGGAAUUAUGUGUUUAAUGAGCCAAGGCCUAAUAAAUACAGAUUUGUAGGUUGUCAAUUUAAGGAGACUACAUGGAGCAAUAUUCCGAAUUUUAUGCUCUUCCAUAUUCUGGACCAACGUCAUUUUGGGUAUUUUCUGAUGCACAUAUUGCCAACAUAUGGUCUCCAACAUCGGUCCCUCCCUCGGUUUACAUUUAUGGGAGGCUUAAUUUGUGCUCCUCUUGUAAGUUGUUGGGCCAUUUGGCUACUGCAUGCCCAGGCGAGAUUUGUUCAAUCUGUCUUAAAGAUAGUUGCUGCUGUCCCCCACCUGCUAGCCGGGUGA